UAACGAGGCAAACCCUGUCAUACACAUAAU
Molecule: non-coding RNA, 30 nt
Filed under: Mus musculus (house mouse)
Lineage: Eukaryota; Metazoa; Chordata; Mammalia; Rodentia; Muridae
Source: RNAcentral